Molecule: long non-coding RNA, 5260 nt
Filed under: Heterocephalus glaber (naked mole-rat)
Lineage: Eukaryota; Metazoa; Chordata; Mammalia; Rodentia; Bathyergidae
Description: lncRNA (ENSHGLG00000038912.1)
Source: RNAcentral
CCGUCCUUUACGCAUCCGUCCUUUGACGUCCGUCCGUUAGCAGAGGAGCCCACGUUGGUGGCGAGGUCUCAGGUGUGGCGUCACUGCCUGCUGCCGCUUCCUCUGGCGCUCUGGGCCGGAGCAAGAGCCGAGAAGAGGGCCUGUUUCCAGCCUCUCCUCGGAAGUGAUGCCCGGAAGUGACUCUGUGGAGCAGCUCAGUUACAGAGGCGAGGAGCCCGGGCAGCGGCUCGGGGCAGCGCACAGGCCGCAGCGCAGAAGGCUCGGCGUCGGGCACCAUGGUGACCAGGGUCGCCCUGGCCGCCCGGUGCCGGGGAUGAGGAGCGAGCAGACAUUGACAACCGAGGAAGUGAGGCGCAGAGAGAUUAAAUGAAACCCGCCGGGAUGACCCAGUACCAACAGAGCCAGCAUUUGAACUCGGGCUUCUGAGCCACGAGUCGUUUCGGGCCCAGGUCUUGUCCAGCCUCGGAUGGUGCUGUCAGGACAGACGCGAAGGGUUGUCCCCGACUGUGGUUGGUUCCUCUGGAAGAAAUCAAGAAAAAGUGGGAGCCUUUCUGGUGUUUCCUCAGGUUGAAGCUUGUAGAUUAUACAGCAGGUUCUCUGCCCAGCCAAGCAGCAUACCAUUCAUUCCCUCUGUCCCUGAGAGGGGAGCAGUCACAUCAGGAGGCCCAAAGGGAGACACCCAUAUGGUGAAGAGCUGCAGUCUCCAGCCACCAUUUGGCAAGAAGCUGGGGUCUGACAACACCUGUGUUGAUGAGCUCGGUGAUGAGGGUUCUGCAGUCGGACCUUGGCCAGAGCCAUGCAGUUUGGACAGUGGAAUACAAGUUAGUUAAAUCGCCUUUCCCUCCUCCGUCUUUCAGCUGGAUCCCAGCUCUUGAGUCCCACCUUCCGGAGGCUGCACACCCACCUCUCCUCCCUCGGGAUGCAGAACCAACCUUCCUUCUCCUUUCUCCUCCAGCUCCACUAGACAAAGGGCUGCAAGGUGACACACUGCGGCUUCCUCCUCCUGGCAGACAGAGGGACCAAGGAUGGGGCAGAGGGAAGUGUCCCAGGCCCUUGUGGGCACCAGGUGGCUCCAAGUGUCAGAGAAGCCUGUGGCACUUUGGACUUGUCUUCUCUGUGCCGGACAGAGGCAGCUAGAUCAGUUAUGACUUGGCGGUUGAAAAUGCUGUCAUCAGGAAUGCCAUCAUCAAGACACAGAAAACACACAGGAAGCACCACUGGAUAAUCCACCCACCUCUCCUACCUGGCUGGGUCAUCUGGGUCUCUGCUGUCCACUACCUAAUUGAUGCCACCUUGUUUGAGUGACCCCAGGGUCUCUUCCAGGCUGGCAGGCAGGACCAGCACAGGGCCAGCAGUCAGGCUCCAGUUAUCUUCUUCACUGCCUUCCAGACUGCCUUCCAUUUCAGGCAGGAGAUGAAGUAGUGUAGGAGUGGACCAGGAUGCUUCAGAGCUAGGCAGUCUAUGCAGGGACGAGGGUCUUGCAGAUGGGAAUGGGAGGUUGGGAUUGUCUGGCAACCUGCUGCCCUAGGGGCUUCAUCCCAGGGAAGAAGGGUUCAGUGCAACAGCAGGCUCUCUGGCCCUUCUCCCUAUGAGAGCUGAGAGAGUGCAGGAUCUUGGGAGGAUGAGGACACCACCUCCUCAUUUGAAGGCUUUACCCUGGGUUUUAAGCUUAACCCCCUUGUGAGCCUGGUGUUCGGGAGCAAAAACAUUGGCCUUCUGAUGGUCAAACUUUCUGAGCCUCAGGGUUUCUAUGAUUUGAUGACUUUUAGUGGGUCAGUCCUAGUCAUGAUGCCAGGAUUGCAGUCUUCCUGUGCUUGCUUGGGGAGUAGCUCAAGAGGAAGAUUAGGAGAAGGUACAUCCAAGGGGAGCCACGAGUGCCACAAGACCUACUUUAGUGUUGGUGGCAUUGAGAGGUUGUGGGGGAGAAGUUUUCAAAUUACAAAUCUGUAAGUCAGAAGAUAGGACAGGAGUACCUGCCCACCCUGAUCUGCUGCACCAGAAGCCUGGCCUUCUCUUAGAGGUGUGAUCCACAGCUAACUCAAAUAGAAUCCUUCAGGGGCAGCAAACCUUACUGUGCAGCCACACAAGGUCACGUUCUGCCUGGGAACAAACUUCUUCCCCAACCCAAAGUCAGUGAUCUUGGUAUUACCUUAGUAGUCCAGUAAGAUGUUGUCAGGUUUGAUUGAAGUCUCUGUGGACAAAACCCUGGCCAUGAGAAUGUUGCAUGACACCUGUGAGCUGGAGAAAUAAUCUCUGGGCCACCGCCUCUGUCAGCACUUCGGUGGCCUUCCAGACAUGUUGCCUCAGGUCUCCUGCACUGUCAUGUUCUUUUAUAAGGUAUAGUUUAUGGAUUUCAAAGACCUCCGGAAGUUGGAUGACUUUGGGGUGCUGUAGCUCCUUUAAGAGCUCUACCUCAGUAAGAGUGAAGGCAGAUUCCAGUUUCUCCUUCUCUAACACCUUUAUGGCUGCUGAUGUGGCAGCAGCAUGAUCUUCAACAAGUAAGACCUUACUAAAGCCAACCUCGCCAAUGAUGCUCAACACUUGAUAGUUUUGAGUGAGCCUCUUCCUGUGAAAGCUGGCUAUGGGGCCCAGCUCUGAGGAUAUAUUGUUGUGCUCAGCACCCAAACUGGGUAUUUCAUAGCUGACUGACACAUGUGGCACAGGAAGCUGUUCCCUUUCCUGCAAGCCAGGAAACAGAGACAGCAGGGAAGGCCAAGAUCCCCAUAUCCCAUUCAAGGGCACCCACACAACCCAACUGCCUGCCAUCAGGCUGCACCUGCUAAAGGGUUCUAAGCCUCACCUUAGUGCCAGGGCUUCUUGAUGAAGCCUUCGACACAUGGACUUUUAUGGGACAUUUAAGGUCCAGACCAUAAAACCACCUUAAAUAACUUUUCCUUCCCAAGGGGUACAAGAAGGAUUAGGAAGUGAUGAGUAUCAGACAUCACUUUUAGCCUGAGCACCUGUCCUGCUCUUGGCCCUGGCAGGGGACCAACCGGAGGGACAGCAUAGAACCUUGUACCUUCAAGACCUUGGAAACUAUGUGCUGAGGGCACACUGUGAAGGGCAGGGCCAUAUCAAGCAGUUACAUGUGGGUGACCAGCAGCCACAUGAGCUAAGAAAGGCACCAGCCAGGGUUUGCCGAUGGAUCACAGGAGGCCACCAAGAAAACCAGAGAGGCGCAGAAUGCAAGUGACUGAAACACAGUGCUCAGAAGGAGGAGUCCCCAACUGAGGGGUAGAGAGCACUAGGGAAUGUUGGGGACUGUGGCAAGCCAGAGAGCUCAUGUUCUUUCCAAUGGCUUCUGCUGAUUGUUAUCCCUUACAGACGAGCCUAGGUUCCCUAUGGUUCUGGAAUGCUGAUCUCGAUAUUUGUGUUGGCAACUAAGUCAGAAUUUUUAACAAAAUAUAUGUCAGUGCUAGCUGUGGUGGCACACAUCUGUAAUCCCAGCCCUCAGGAGGCUGGGGCAGGGAAUUAAGAAUUUGAGACCAGCUAGAAUGACAUAGGAAAUCAUACUCUAACUGAACUGCUUUGUGAGACCCUGUCCAAAAGAAAUUGUGUGUGUGUGUGCAUGUGUGCGUGUGUGCACCUAUAUGUACAUAUAUCUUAGGGCAAAUGAAACACAGCAAUCAACUCAAUGGAGUCCAGGGACUGGGUUUGUCCUGUCUGCAUUAGAAAUCAACUGUUACAUGGCUGCCUAGUGACAGCAACAAUAAAAGCUGACAUCUGAGCCAUGAGCAGUGGUACACACAUGUAAUACCAGUUUCCUGGGAGGCUAAGGUAGGAGGAUCACUAGUUCAAGGCUGCUUUAGGCAAGUUAGUGAGACUCUGUCUCAAAAUAAAUAAUAAAGGGCUAGGAAGGUGGCUCAGUGGUAGAGGGCCCCUGGGUGACAUCCCCAGUACCACCACCAAAGAAAACAAAAAGGCUAGCAUAGGCUUCCUGGAAUCAAAUCUUUAUAUGAAGUGCCUCACAUGGGUCAUUUUAAGUAUCUCAGAAACCCUGUGACAAGGCACUAUACUCCUCCUGACAGCAUGGAGGAGGGUUCAAGCCCUGGGUCAGGACAUCAACACAUGGGCCCCAUGAUUUAUCAUCUUUCACACAUGAAAAGUACUCCAGGCCCUUGGAGUUUCCUAGGUAACUGAAGCCCUUUAUCUCCCAUCCCAUCCCAUCCCAUCCCACUGCCUUUCCAAGUUGUGAAAAUCUUGCCCAAACAUGUAUGUGCUUAUUGUUUUGAGUUUGUUGAUAUGUGGGGAGAGCUCAAGCUACAAACUCAAGUGUACAGGGAUCUUAUAUGUUUCUCGUCAUGAGGCACAUAUUUGUCCCAUAGAAGGUAUUCAAUAGACAUUUCUAGUUGAUGGAGUCAGUGACCCUUUUUUCUCUUUCAUUUCAGAGGGAGUCAGACAUUUGGUUUUAUAUCACAGCAUUGUGUCACCUGGCCCCUGAGAAUGCUAACAUUGUAAGACAGGAGAGUAGCAAGGAGUUUACUAGGAACCCCUCCUCAUCCUAAAAACAGAUAAACACACAAAACAGUUGCAAGCAGACUAGACAAGCUGUUUGCAAGGUCCUGGUAGGGAAGGCAGUUGAGUGCUGAUGAGGUGCAGUACACUUGUACUGAAGUCCUGCACAGGUAUCAGUACUUUGGCUGGUGGGUGUCACUCUGCCAAGGAAGUGCUGUUCUCAUUCAUUCAAAAUGAAUGGCUCAUUUUGUUGUUCUUGACUCUUAAUUUUUAAUUUUUAUUUUUCAUCUGACAAAAACUUAGCUGAGUCAGGAAAUUGAUAGGUGGCUUUUACUACUCUGCCAUACAGAAGAAUAAGUUGGAGACAUUUGUAGAAUAUGGAUACACCUUGAACCAUAAUGUUCAGUGAAGUAAAUCAGACACACAAGGUUAAAUAUUGCAUGGUUUCUCUUAUACGAGAAACUCAAAGUAUAAACAAACUAAAGAGCAAAUAAAGGAUAGAUAAUAAUAGAAAAUAGGGAGAUAGAACUUUUGCAGAAUGGAAGAGGACCAAGAGAUGGGGUAGGGGAGGAAAUGAGAAGAAUAAAUAAAAGAAUUCAGAUGUAUAAUGUACGUGUACCAACUCCCCAUGAUGAAUGUAAUCACUAUGUACUCCAAACAUGUACUAAUAUAAAAUUUUUUAAUGAAAAAUGGAUAUUGUCUUGUUACUUUUCUCAUUGCUGAGACAAAAUAUCUGACACCCAAAGUUAAAGGGGGAAAAGUUCAUUUGGCUUACAGUUUGUAGAGGUUUCAGUAUAUAAUCAGC